This 83-nucleotide non-coding RNA is filed under the name pig gut metagenome. Its description in RNAcentral is "S10-Clostridia ribosomal protein leader". It matches the Rfam family "S10-Clostridia ribosomal protein leader". The record is from RNAcentral.
UGAUAGCGUUGAAGCGUGAGGUUGCUGCACAGAGGUUGCAGGUUUUCCGUGGAGCGAAUGUCAAGUUAGGAAACUGACGACAA